CAUUACACAAAUAUGAAGCCGGACUGGGAUAGGGCCUCGCUGCCUUGCCCGUCUGGCGCCAUAUUCACCCAUGUCUUUUUGCGUACUACUUGUUUCCUUGGCGGGUCCGCCCGCCAAUUGGACCUUAUUCAAACCUUUUUUUCAGUUGCAAUCAGCGUCAGCAAAACAAAUGUAAUCAAUUACAACUUUCAACAACGGAUCUCUUGGUUCUGGCAUCGAUGAAGAACGCAGCGAAAUGCGAUAAGUAGUGUGAAUUGCAGAAUUCAGUGAAUCAUCGAAUCUUUGAACGCACAUUGCGCCCUUUGGUAUUCCAAAGGGCAUGCCUGUUCGAGCGUCAUUUGUACCCUCAAGCUUUGCUUGGUGUUGGGCGUCUUGUCUCUCUCCCGAGACUCGCCUUAAAAUCAUUGGCAGCCGGCCUACUGGUUUCGGAGCGCAGCACAUUAUUUGCGCUCUUGUCCAGCCGCGGUCGCGCGUCCAUGAAGCUUCUUUCAACCUUUUGACCUCGGAUCAGGUANGGAUAC
Molecule: ribosomal RNA, 521 nt
Filed under: Pyrenophora tritici-repentis
Lineage: Eukaryota; Fungi; Ascomycota; Dothideomycetes; Pleosporales; Pleosporaceae
Description: eukaryotic LSU rRNA
Rfam family: 5.8S ribosomal RNA (bases 184-337)
Source: RNAcentral